Molecule: non-coding RNA, 181 nt
Filed under: Roseiflexus sp.
Lineage: Bacteria; Bacillati; Chloroflexota; Chloroflexia; Chloroflexales; Roseiflexaceae
Description: SAM-I sequence
Rfam family: SAM riboswitch aptamer (S box leader)
About the family: The SAM riboswitch is found upstream of a number of genes which code for proteins involved in methionine or cysteine biosynthesis in Gram-positive bacteria.
Source: RNAcentral
CUCUUAUCCAGAGAGGCGGAGGGACCGGCCCGAUGAAGCCUCGGCAACCUCCGGUGCAGGGUAAGACGUUCAGGUGCUGAGACUGGCGUCAGUGACGAUGCCUCCUCACUCCAGGCAACCUGAGCAUCUUGUUCACACUGGAAGGUGCCAAUUCCGGCAGAGUAUAUCUGGAAGAUGAGAG